Molecule: non-coding RNA, 7665 nt
Organism: Rattus norvegicus (Norway rat)
Lineage: Eukaryota; Metazoa; Chordata; Mammalia; Rodentia; Muridae
Source: RefSeq, a predicted model, not a curated record
ACUUACAUCUCUAUCUUGAUUGUCCUGCACUGGACCUCAAUUUUCUCACUUGUAAAAUGGGGAUAAUAACAAUAAUAACAGCAGCACUAAUGAUGCUCCAAUCGCUUAUAACGAUGAGGAAGACACGGAAUAAUUAUGUGAAAUGCUUUAGUACAGAACCCAGGCCAGAGUAUAUUUAGUGCAAGAGACUGUUAUUAUUGUUUUAUUCUUUUUAAUCUCUUCUUUGGUAUCUUUGUUUUUCUUUUUCCUUGUCUCCAUGUUAUUCUCAAGUCUCCUCCCCAUCCCGGCUCCUUUUGCAGGAAGCUCUGCCCCUGGCUUCCUUGGCAGGGACACAACUGGAAAUGACAUCCAGACUAAGAGAUCCCCUCCCAUCUUCCUUAUAGUCCGGGCUCCACCUCAGACUCAGAAAACUUGCCUGGGGGCACAGUAUGGCGUCAAUCCCACAAAUCGCCCCAUAAAAUCCUGAAACCCAGAUCUGUCAUCCAAAGGAGGUAAAUCAGAGUGACUCACAGGAUCCUGCUGUUCAAAUUCCUGGACCCCAAUCUUUUAGAUUUCUAAUUCUCUGAGCACAAUUAGGUUUCCAAUUUUCAGACACAAAAACCCUGAGGCUGAUUUCUCUCCUCUCCCGUCCUAAGUGCCCCGAUCUUUUGGGAUGAAGGAGUGUGGCUUCUUUCCCCAAGACCCAAGGGCUGUUGGGAAUGGACAGCGCAGACCUGCGAUCCUAAGCACUCUGGAGGCUAAGGCAUAUCAGAGCUAACUCUGAGUUGACAGCGAGUUCAAGGCCAGUCUGUGCAACUUAGAAACUGUCUCAAAAUAAAGAUUUAGAAAACGAUUGAGGUUCAGUGUCCUGUAGUAGAAACCUUGUUUAGCAUACGAAAAGCCCUAGACUCUGUCCUCAGUACUGGAAAAAAAAGAAGUGGGAGUGGAAGAAAGUAGAAUGCUUGGAAACACCUCGGGUACCAGAGGCCCAAAGUUCUAUUCUUGGACAUUCCAACCACGCCUUCAGCCGCCUUGGCUCUCUCCAAAGAACCUGACACCACUCACAGGCGCUUUCCUGAAUGGGCGGGGUCGCAGUCCAUGUAGGACAGCGAUAGGCUGCCAGAGACGUCAUUCUCCGUUAGUUUCGGUCAAUCUGCCAAUAGACAAGGAACCUGCCCCUUAGGGUUCGGUUCGGUUCGGCUAAAGGUCCAAGGUACUCGGCGAGGAAACCAGCUCUCCUGGUUGGUCCAGUGUUCCCCGAAGGACACCAGCCCGAUGGAGAGAGUCUGCAGGAACGGCCGGAUGGCAGGUGUGAACUGUGAAGGGAUGCCUGUGUCACCCAACUACCCAGGAGAGGGAUGAGGAUGGGGCACGACUUGGGACAGAGGAACCUCUCCCUGGGACUGAUAAGGAUACAUGGACUGCAGGGAAGCUGCCCCGCUGAGUGCUUGCUUAGCAUUCACUAGACCCUGGGUUUGACUGUAAGCGCCACCAGACAGACAAGACUCAUAACUGAACCAGGACACAAUGCCCGCUCUGACUGAGCCAUGCAAUAUCUCUGGUUGCUCUGCCACUGUUUCUUCAGCCUUUUAGAUCCAGAGAAGCGAGAUGGUAACUCUCUCCUUUCUCCAAGGACGGUGUGAAGGUGCAAAGCCAACUUAAAGGUUCUCAUGUUUCGGAAGUCGCCCCAGUGUUGCUGGGUUGACGAAGGUCGAUUUGAGUCAAUGAGUAGAGGGAUGGAUUGACUGAGAGAGGAAGGAGCUCUUGCAGUUACCGGGUGCCUCUUCCGCCUACCUUUUGCACGCUUAUACUUUAUUUUGAAAAAGCAGUUAAAAACCCUCCCACGUUAUUCUUUUAAGAGGGCAGAAGACAUGAAAAACAGCGCUUGAACCGAAGCUGAAAACACUAAGGGCAUAGCUGUUGCUCUUGGUCACACAGAGAAUAAGGAACCGGAGCGAGAAUCCUAUUCCUACAGACAAGCAAGCAUCUCGAACACUUGUCCCAAGACCGGACUGGGAUAGCUGGUAGUCCUUACGUCUCGGUGGGGCAUUCUACUCUCACAUCACCCCCCACGCACCACGGCAGUGGGUUAAUCCACAGAUCUCUCCCCCACGUGGAAGUGGGUCAGUCCACUCAGUCCCCCGUCCCCCGCAGGAUGUGUGGGAUAUCUUCCAACCUGCUACCGGCUCACCUUUGACCUUGCCUUUUCGCCACCGCCUGCGACUGCGGUUCUUCGAUCCUUCUUUGGCCUGCUUGGAGGCCUGGGCCACCACGGGCGCCGAUUCCACGGCCGGCUCCAUCAAUUCUUUCCAGUCCCGGCGCGGGGCCCAGUUCCAGUGAUCAAGUCCCUCUCUUAGAGUCAAUCUUAGUUACACACCACCGCCAGGCCCCUAAACCAUCCAAUCCUGGGCAGGCUCCUAGCUGAGCUCCGCCUUUAAUGGGCGGAGCCGAAGGUUUUGCCCCGCCCAUUCGCUCAGGUUAAAGGAACCGCGCAAUCCACCACAACGACCAAAAAAAAAAAAAAAAAAAAAGCAACCCUGGAGGCGGCGAAAAGUGUCCUCACAGAAGGAAUGGUGAGGAGUCGCACCAGAGACCCCCCCCCAACAUAGAAUCCUCGGUCUUCUCAUUGAAGGUGCUGACACUCGCUACCCCACUCAUCUUUCCUUGAACUUGGCCCGCCCACUUGCCCCAGGAGCUGGGCGGGCGGGGAUCACCUGGGGGCGUGGCCGCGCUUGGUAGCCCUUGGGAAGCCCCGCCUUUUCUCCGGCCCCUCACGUGUUCGUCCCUGCUGUGUUUUUUCAGACAGGGUCCCAUAUUGUAGUUGAGGCUGCUUCGACCUCUCAGCAAAUUACUUUCCGGUCUCACAUCUUCUAUCCUCCCUCUCUAGAAUAAAAGGGAUGCGGGGCGGUGAAGGAGGAAGACUGCAACCCUAAGGCCUAGCAGCUUGCAGGCCUCAGGCUUGACCUACUGAAAGGAGCGUAAGUAGAGGGAGCUUCACGUGCCCUGGAAAAGGCGGGAAGCAGAGGAGGCCCAAGACUCGCACAUGCGCACUGCAUUCUCAGCCGCUUCUGGGUAGCCCAUGCCAGAAGCUUCAGGAACCGGGCUGCACUGGGAGAAUUAAGCCUCGAUUUUCUUCUUGACGGAGCAAGCAUUAUUCUGUCCCCCUGAGAAACCUCUUAAGUCUUUGGGGGAGGCGGGGCGGGCUCCCUGAGGUGAAAGACCAUCACUACCGGCCUUCGGGACUAUAACCUUCUCUGUGCUCCUGUCAGGACUGGGCUCUGUGGCGUUACCUGGCAUUGCUUCAGAGAGGCAGCAGGAAGAACCGCCGCACCUCAGCAGCACCUCACUAUGCUGUUUCCAUUCAGCCUUGACCUCCCCACAGACAGAAGUCUGUGUUCUGCAACCCUAUCCAGGCCCCUCUCCCAAGCUUCUAAAUGCCAUGAAACCCGGUCACUCCACGACGCUGAGGCCCUGUCGAGGCACUUGGCAGAGGGAAGACCUUCUCGAAGCAGAGGCUGUGAAUGUUCCAGAUGUUGAGCUAGUCUAUACCACGCUUGCCCAGUGUAAGGCCCACAUUGAGCAUUGCGCUAUUGUUGCUUAGUGUGGUGUGCCUCACAACUAUUGCUCGGCCAUUUCUUUCUUUCCUUCCUUCCUUCCUUCCUUCCUUCCUUCCUUCCUUCCUUCCUUCCUUCCUUCCUUCCCAAAUGAAUGCUAGGAGGAGGGUGGUUUCUUUGACCUGAUUCCUGAGUUAGAGCUCUUUCCCACUCCAAUUUGAUUUCCUUCAAAUCUUUUGUACAGGGGCUGCCUAGCAUAAAGGGAGACAAACCUUGCUUUUACCCCUGUGUUUGCUGUUUCCAAACUGCAGGGUCUUGUGUAAGAUCCUUCAUUUUUUUUACGCCUCAGCAUCCCUUCUCUACAGACUGGGGUGGGGGUGGGGAGUCUUGGAAGAUGACCUGAGUGUUAUAAUCCCAGAUACAGAAAAUACUUAGCACGACUCAUGCUAGCUCUAGUCUUCCAGGCUUAGACUCACCUGUAUCCCAGUAGUGCUUGUGUUUCUGGAGGAUGCCUUUCUUCCCAUGUGGUAAUUUCCCACCAUAUCCUGACAUCUUUCCACAAUCGGGUUUCUGUUUGGAGGGCAGCGUUCCUGGGAUCACUGUCCCACCACUUGGCUCUGGAGGGUUUGACUUUGAGGAUGAAUUCAGGUAUUUCUCCAUGUCAGACUCUGUAACACAAUCAAGAAAUGUCUUCCACUCUUGGGAGGGCUGCUGUAUGGCUAGUUUCUGCAGUCUUGCUAAAAUCCCUGACUCUAUCAAAGAUCCCUGGUCAGAUUUGACUCCUUGGACUAGAGGUGUUUGCUGGGCUGUAGGGUCUGACUGCUCAGCUCUCUCUUGGGAGACCAAGUCAGUUUGGGUAGGGAGUUUCUUGUCCGGUCCAGAUACGGCCUGGGCUAUAGAUGUAGCCUCUACUUCUGUAGCUGGAGGUGGUUCUGCUGGUCCAGAUUCUGCUGUCCCCACGUGUUCAUCUCUGUGUUCUAGUUCCUUUUGAGUUGUAUGCACUUUCCCCGCCCCAGGUCCAUUCUGGGAGGUGGCUUCCUGUUGAUCCGAGUGCACUUUGUGGCUUGGGAAUGAUUGCUGUGGUACAGGGAAGGCUAAUGGGGUGAGAAGUUUCUGGAGCAGAGUAGAUUGUUGAACUCCCUGUUCUUGCUGGAAUUCAGCUCCUUGCUGGGCAGUGGCCUCAUUUGGGAGACUUUGUUUCUGUGGGAUACCAAAUUCCUGCAGCUCCCUUGAUCCUGGGUAGUCUGUGAGGGUCUGCUGUGCCUCAGGUCUCCAUUCUGGCCUAGACACAGAGGUAGAACUUGGCUCCAUAGUUGUUAUUUCCCUUGUGAAAGAAAUUGGUCUCCUAGGUUUCAUCCUUCUGCCCCCUACCCUUCAGGCUUCCUCUUCACAGAUCUUUCAUGAUGGCACCUCCCUUUGGGCUCUAAUCUUUUGUCCUGGCAUUCCUGGUCUUUCUUUAGAGCUGGUCCGUGGGUUUUUCACUGCUGGUCCCCACUCCUUGCCAAGUGAUCACUCUGUGCCUCUUACUUUGGGAGAGGGGUUAGGGCUAGGAGGAGACUCAUGUGCCCAGUACUGUCUUACAAGAGGGGAGGGGCUUGCCCUCUUGUGUCAUAAAUAGGGCCCCACCCCACUCACUGCUCAGUUAAAAUGACCAGUGACCCUUCUCAUAAGACAGGUAUCUUAACUUAGUCCUCUCUUUCAGCUGGGUGAGUGGUCUCUCCCCCCAGAGAUGGGAAUCUCAUGUAGCCCAGGCUGGCCUCAAGCUACCAAUCCUCCUGUCUUCAUUAACCAAAGUCUGGGACCACAGGCAGUCUCUGAUUCAGUGCUUCACCUGCCUUUUAGACCCCGGACAGAAGGCAUGUAAGAAGAGUGACAAGUGCAGAGGACACAGUGGCAGCUCUUUAUUGCAAAACCCAGGCACUGCAGGCUGUCAGAGGCCACCUGCUGCGCUUCCUCUGUCCAUCCACUUGUGACCAUCAGCAAAAGUACCAGCGAUGGAAGUGGUAGUUCCUAGGCAGUUGUCCUGUCCUCGCACUGCUGACAGAUUUCUCCAGGUCCCUAACCACUCACAGGGGAAGCAUGUGCUGGUGUGUGCCGGCAAUUCCAGCACUGGGGUCUGUGAACAAGACUUUGAGUUUGAUAACAGAAUCUAUUAAUCUAUUCUCCCUCCCUCCCUCCCUCCCUCCCUCCCUCCCUCCCUCCCUCCCUCCCUCCCUUCCUUCCUUCCUUCCUUCCUUCCUUCCUUCCUUCCGAAGGGCUGGUGGCUGCCGGGUGGGUGAGCUGAUGACCUGACCUCAAUCCUUCCUCACAAGGAAGCAGAGAAACCAGCACAAGGUCCUUUGGCCUCCACACUCAUUUGGGGCACGAGUAACCCCCUCAUCCUUAAAUAAACGUAGUAAAGAAGGAAGGGCUAGGGAUGUAGCUUAGUGAAGACUCUCGACUAGCGUGCCAUGGCUCUGGGUUUGAUUCUCAGCCCUAUAAAAAACAAAGGGCUGGAGAGAUGGCUCAAUGGUUAAGAGCACUGACUGCUCUUCCAGAGGCCCAGCAACCACAUGGUGGCUCACAACCAUCUGUAAUGAGAUCUGAUGCCCUCUUCCAAUGUGUCUGAAGAGAGUGACAGUGUACUCAUAUAAAUAAAAUAUUAAAAAACAAAACAAAACAAAAACAAACCAGCAACAACGUGCAAACAAAAUCAGAGGCAGUUGUCUUUCCCUCCAAACUCUUUCUUGGAGCACUGGGGAAAACAAAGCCUCCUCUUGCUCCUCAGGAAGUUAGUUAUGGUUUAGUUGCCCCAAUUUACAGGACGGGGAGUGUGUGUGUGUGUGUGUGUGUGUGUGUGUGUGUGUGUGUGUGUGUGUGUGAUUACCAGGUCUUCAGGCCCAGGAAGGCUUGAGGAAUAUAGGAACUAUAGGCAAAAAGGGAUCUUUGAACUGUGUUGGUCUAGGUUGGUGGGGGUUCUUGGCUUCAGCCUCUGGAAACGGCCCAAGGCAAAAGGAGAAAGCUGAUAAUGGUCACAGUCAACAUUAAAGGUGAUCGUACCAGGCAGCUCACAGGGGAGGAGUGUUGUGUUUUAAAAGGAUAAAGGGGGGGUUAUGUUUAAUGGAGGUCUGGGGAAACGGGGUGCCUCAGUAGAUCCAUGCUGAGGUGUCCAUUCCCCCUGAGGGGGCCGGCCACAUGACAGUAUAGUAUAGAAUAGUUUAUUCAGGGCAUAGGGAAGGACUUAAGAGGGUAGUAGGAGAGAGAGAGAGAGAGAGAGAGAGAGAGAGAGAGAGAGAGAGAAGAAAUAGAAGAGGAAAGGAGUAGAGGCCAACCAUGAGCACAUGGAGAGAAGGGGGGAAAAUGGGGAGAGAAGGGAUGGAGGGUAAGAGCAAGAGCAAGAGAGUGAGGAAAGGGCAAGCAGCCCCCUUUAUAGUGUCAGGCUGUUGCCAGGUAACUGUGGGGGUGGAGCUUAGACAGAAUGCUAACAAGGGGAGCUUGCCCUGUCACUGUGGAGCCUGCAUUGAGAUGCAUCAUGGGAUGAGUGCAUAAAAACUGCUCACUUCAAGCGUCCAGGAACAAGAAGGCAGCAAGAAACGGCAUCCUAAUAUUUCCUUUAAGGCUGUAUACCCCACCAUGACGUAACUGUUUCCUACCAAGCUCUGUCUCCUCAAGGUUUUCCUGAUUGCCCAAUGGGCUAGCUACCAUGCCUUCAACUCAUGGGCUGUUGGGAAGCACUGAAGAGCCAAAUUAUAACAAUCUCGGAGCAUCAGCACUGAAUUUACUAUCUGCUUUAAGAACAUGUGAAAGAGGGCUGGAGAGAUGGCUCAGCGGUUAGAGCACUGACUGUCCUUCCAGAGGUCCUGAGUUCAAUUCCCAGCAACCACAUGGUGGCUCACAACCAUCUGUGAUGGGAUCUGGUGCCCUCUUCUGGUGUGUCUGAAGACAGCUACAGAGUACUUCUAUAUAAUAAAUAGAUAAAUCUUAAAAAAAAAAAAGGGAAUGUGUGAAAAAAUUAGGGAUUGAUCAACUUAAAUUUUGGGUGACAUUUGUUGGGACUGAAGGGACAGUGAACAAGGAAGUCUUUCCUAGAAACCUCCAGGAAUGAGAGGGUGUGUGAAUUGUUCCUCCAAAAGCAGUAAAUUGAUAAAAAUUA